GAGUUUGAUCCUGGCUCAGAGCGAACGCUGGCGGCAGGCCUAACACAUGCAAGUCGAGCGCUCGUAGCAAUACGAGAGCGGCAGACGGGAGAGUAACACGUGGGAACGUGCCCUUCGGUUCGGAAUAACUCAGGGAAACUUGAGCUAAUACCGGAUACGCCCUAACGGGGAAAGAUUUAUUGCCGAAGGAGCGGCCCGCGUCGGAUUAGCUAGUUGGUGAGGUAAUGGCUCACCAAGGCAACGAUCCGUAGCUGGUCUAAGAGGAUGAUCAGCCUCACGUGGGACUGAGACACGGCCCAGACUCCUACGGGA
RNAcentral lists this ribosomal RNA (312 nucleotides) under uncultured Alphaproteobacteria bacterium. Its description in RNAcentral is "bacterial SSU rRNA". It matches the Rfam family "Bacterial small subunit ribosomal RNA", at positions 9 to 346 of the family's 1533-position model. The record is from RNAcentral. Lineage: Bacteria; Pseudomonadati; Pseudomonadota; Alphaproteobacteria.